This 975-nucleotide ribosomal RNA is filed under the name human gut metagenome. RNAcentral describes it as "bacterial LSU rRNA". It matches the Rfam family "Bacterial large subunit ribosomal RNA", at positions 1953 to 2925 of the family's 2925-position model. The record is from RNAcentral.
AAGGUAGCGAAAUUCCUUGUCGGGUAAGUUCCGACCUGCACGAAUGGCGUAACGACUUCCCCACUGUCUCGACCAGGAGCUCGGCGAAAUUGCAGUACGAGUAAAGAUGCUCGUUAAGCGCAGAAGGACGAAAAGACCCCGGGACCUUUACUAUACCUUGGUAUUGGCGUUAGGCGCGGAUUGUGUAGCAUAGGCGGGAGGCUUCGAAGCGGGUGCGCCAGCAUUCGUGGAGCCGCAAGGUGAAAUACCGCUCUGUUCUCGUUUGACGUCUAACCUCGACAAGUCAUCCUUGUCAGGGACAGUGCCUGGCGGGUAGUUUAACUGGGGCGGUUGCCUCCCAAAGAGUAACGGAGGCGCCCAAAGGUCCGCUCAGCCCGGUUGGCAAUCGGGUGGCGAGUGCAAGUGCACAAGCGGGCUUGACUGCGAGGACGACGGUCCGAGCAGGGACGAAAGUCGGAGAUAGUGAUCCGGUGCCGGCGCACGGGCGCGGCAUCGCUCAACGGAUAAAAGGUACCCCGGGGAUAACAGGCUGAUCAUUCCCAAGAGUCCAUAUCGACGGGAUGGUUUGGCACCUCGAUGUCGGCUCGUCGCAUCCUGGGGCUGGAGCAGGUCCCAAGGGUUCGGCUGUUCGCCGAUUAAAGCGGCACGCGAGCUGGGUUCAGAACGUCGUGAGACAGUUUGGUCUCUAUCCUCUGCGCUCGUUGGAAUCCUGAGGAGGCCUGCCCAUAGUACGAGAGGACCUGGGUGGACGAACCUCUGGUAUGCCGGUUGUCGCGCCAGCGGCACGGCCGGUUGGCUACGUUCGGGAGGGAUAACCGCUGAAAGCAUCUAAGCGGGAAGCCUGCUCCAAGAUUAGGAUUCCAUGGAUCUUCGAGAUCCUGUAGCCCGCAUGUUGAACACGUGUUUGAUAGGCCGGAGGUGGAAGCCCCGUGAGGGGUGGAGCCGACCGGUACUAACGGGCGAUGGCGACACAAC